UACGGAGGAUCCAAGCGUUAUCCGGAAUUACUGGGCGUAAAGAGUUGCGUAGGUGGCAGAGUAAGUAGAUAGUGAAAGCGUGCGGCUCAACCGCAUAUACAUUAUCUAAACUACUCAGCUAGAGGACGGGAGAGGUAGAUGGAAUUCCCAGUGUAGGAGUGAAAUCCGUAGAUAUUGGGAGGAACACCGAUGGCGUAGGCAGUCUACUGGCUCGUUCCUGACACUAAGGCACGAAAGCGUGGGGAGCAAACGGG
RNAcentral lists this unclassified non-coding RNA (254 nucleotides) under uncultured Patescibacteria group bacterium. Its description in RNAcentral is "contains 16S-23S intergenic spacer region". It matches the Rfam family "Bacterial small subunit ribosomal RNA", at positions 524 to 776 of the family's 1533-position model. The record is from RNAcentral.